GAAAUGCGAUACGUAGUGUGAAUUGCAGAAUUCAGUGAAUCAUCGAAUCUUUGAACGCACAUUACGCCCUUUGGAAUACCAAAGGGCAUGCCUGUUCGAGCGUCAUUUGUACCCUCAAGCUUUGCUUGGUGUUGAGCGUCUUUUGUCUCCAGUUCGCUGGAGACUCGCCUUAAAGUCAUUGGCAGCCGGCCUACUGGUUUCGGAGCGCAGCACAAGUCGCGCUCUUUGCCAGCCAGGGUCAGCGUCCAGCAGGCCUUUUUUUCAACCUUUGACCUCGGAUCAGGUAGGGAUACCCGCUGAACUUAA
Molecule: unclassified non-coding RNA, 306 nt
Filed under: uncultured Chalastospora
Lineage: Eukaryota; Fungi; Ascomycota; Dothideomycetes; Pleosporales
Description: sequence contains ITS1
Rfam family: 5.8S ribosomal RNA (bases 1-105)
Source: RNAcentral